CAGUUAAAAAGCUCGUAGUUGGAUUUCGGGAUGGGCCAGUCGGUCCGCCUAACGGUGUGUUUACUGGCUGGUCUGUUCUUCUUCGCAAAGACUGCGUGUGCUCUUCAGUGAGUGUGCGUAGGAUUUACGACGUUUACUUUGAAAAAAUUAGAGUGUUCAAAGCAGGCAUACCGCUUGAAUACAUGAGCAUGGAAUAAUGGAAUAGGACUUUGGUCUUAUUUUGUUGGUUUCUGAGACCGAAGUAAUGAUUAAGAGGGACAGUUGGGGGCUUCGUAUUUCGUUGUCAGAGGUGAAAUUCUUGGAUUUACAAGACA
This 314-nucleotide ribosomal RNA is filed under the name uncultured eukaryote. Its description in RNAcentral is "SSU rRNA". It matches the Rfam family "Eukaryotic small subunit ribosomal RNA", at positions 616 to 935 of the family's 1831-position model. The record is from RNAcentral.